This 253-nucleotide ribosomal RNA is filed under the name uncultured bacterium. RNAcentral describes it as "partial 16S ribosomal RNA". It matches the Rfam family "Bacterial small subunit ribosomal RNA", at positions 524 to 776 of the family's 1533-position model. The record is from RNAcentral.
UACGGGGGGGGCAAGCGUUGUUCGGAAUUACUGGGCGUAAAGGGCUCGUAGGCGGCCAACUAAGUCAGACGUGAAAUCCCUCGGCUUAACCGGGGAACUGCGUCUGAUACUGGUUGGCUUGAGUUUGGGAGAGGGACGCGGAAUUCCAGGUGUAGCGGUGAAAUGCGUAGAUAUCUGGAGGAACACCGGUGGCGAAGGCGGCAUCCUGGACCGAGAUUGACGCUGAGGCGCGAAAGCCAGGGGAGCAAACGGG